UUUGCCUUCUCACUUAUGAGCACCAAAACAAUGGUUGCAGGGGCUCGCUUUCUUCUCGAGACUUCCUUGCCUCAAGUGCCCGAGCUUCCAAAGCCUGAGCUGCCACAAUUGCCCAAGCCUGAGCUUCCACAUUUGCCAAAGCCUGAGCUGCCACAAGUGCCUAAGCCUGAGCUUCCACAACUUCCUAAGCCUGAGCUUCCACAGUUGCCAAAGCCCGAGCUGCCACCGCUUCCUAAGCCUGAGCUACCGCAGUUUCCAAAGCCUGAGCUACCGCAGUUUCCAAAGCCUGAGCUGCCACCAUUGGCUAAACCCGAAAUACCAUCAGCACCUCAUGUCCCAACUUUGCCAAAGGAAGGCCAUAAGUUGGCUGAAAUACCACAUGCCCCAACCUUGCAUGAGUUACCUCAACUUCCAAAGCCUGAAUUGCCACCACUUCCCGCUUUCCCAACUUUGCCGAAGCCCGAGCUGCCAGCGGUGCCCAAUGUCCCUACUUUACCAAAGC
RNAcentral lists this long non-coding RNA (502 nucleotides) under Prunus persica (peach). Its description in RNAcentral is "long non-coding RNA (PPER_LNC008210)". Lineage: Eukaryota; Viridiplantae; Streptophyta; Magnoliopsida; Rosales; Rosaceae. The record is from RNAcentral.